GAUGAACGCUGGCGGCGUGCCUAAUACAUGCAAGUCGAGCGAACAGACGAGGAGCUUGCUCCUCUGACGUUAGCGGCGGACGGGUGAGUAACACGUGGAUAACCUACCUAUAAGACUGGGAUAACUUCGGGAAACCGGAGCUAAUACCGGAUAAUAUAUUGAACCGCAUGGUUCAAUAGUGAAAGACGGUUUUGCUGUCACUCAUAGAUGGAUCCGCGCCGCAUUAGCUAGUUGGUAAGGUAACGGCUUACCAAGGCAACGAUGCGUAGCCGACCUGAGAGGGUGAUCGGCCACACUGGAACUGAGACACGGUCCAGACUCCUACGGGAGGCAGCAGUAGGGAAUCUUCCGCAAUGGGCGAAAGCUUGACGGAGCAACGCCGCGUGAGUGAUGAAGGUCUUCGGAUCGUAAAACUCUGUUAUUAGGGAAGAACAAAUGUGUAAGUAACUAUGCACGUCUUGACGGUACCUAAUCAGAAAGCCACGGCUAACUACGUG
RNAcentral lists this ribosomal RNA (497 nucleotides) under uncultured bacterium. RNAcentral's name for it is "partial 16S ribosomal RNA". It matches the Rfam family "Bacterial small subunit ribosomal RNA", at positions 28 to 507 of the family's 1533-position model. The record is from RNAcentral.